RNAcentral lists this ribosomal RNA (492 nucleotides) under uncultured bacterium. Its description in RNAcentral is "partial 16S ribosomal RNA". It matches the Rfam family "Bacterial small subunit ribosomal RNA", at positions 29 to 507 of the family's 1533-position model. The record is from RNAcentral.
AGUGAACGCUGGCGGUAGGCCUAGCACAUGCAAGUCGAACGGCAGCACAGUAAGAGCCUGCUCUUACGGGUGGCGAGUGGCGGACGGGUGAGGAAUGCAUCGGAAUCUACUUUUUCGUGGGGGAUAACGUAGGGAAACUUACGCUAAUACCGCAUACGACCUACGGGUGAAAGCAGGGGAUCUUCGGACCUUGCGCGAUUGAAUGAGCCGAUGUCGGAUUAGCUAGUUGGCGGGGUAAAGGCCCACCAAGGCGACGAUCCGUAGCUGGUCUGAGAGGAUGAUCAGCCACACUGGAACUGAGACACGGUCCAGACUCCUACGGGAGGCAGCAGUGGGGAAUAUUGGACAAUGGGCGCAAGCCUGAUCCAGCCAUACCGCGUGGGUGAAGAAGGCCUUCGGGUUGUAAAGCCCUUUUGUUGGGAAAGAAAAGCAGCAGGUUAAUACCCCGCUGUUCUGACGGUACCCAAAGAAUAAGCACCGGCUAACUUCGUG